CCUACGGGAGGCAGCAGUGAGGAAUAUUGGUCAAUGGACGCAAGUCUGAACCAGCCAUGCCGCGUGCAGGAAGACGGCCCUAUGAGUUGUAAACUGCUUUUGUACGAGGGUAAACUCAGAUACGCGUACCUUUCUGAAAGUACCGUAUGAAUAAGGAUCGGCUAACUCCGUGCCAGCAGCCGCGGUAAUACGGAGGAUUCAAGCGUUAUCCGGAUUUAUUGGGUUUAAAGGGUGCGUAGGUGGGCGGUUAAGUUAGUGGUGAAAUCCUGAGGCUCAACUGCGGAAUUGCCUCUGAUACUGUUAGGCUAGAGAGUAGUUGCGGUAGGCGGAAUGUGUGGUGUAGCGGUGAAAUGCUUAGAGAUCAUACAGAACACCGAUUGCGAAGGCAGCUUACCAAGCUGCUUCUGACGUUGAGGCACGAAAGCGUGGGGAGCAAACAGGAUUAGAUACCCUUGUAGUC
RNAcentral lists this ribosomal RNA (460 nucleotides) under uncultured bacterium. RNAcentral's name for it is "partial 16S ribosomal RNA". It matches the Rfam family "Bacterial small subunit ribosomal RNA", at positions 338 to 795 of the family's 1533-position model. The record is from RNAcentral.